CCUACGGGAGGCAGCAGUGAGGAAUAUUGGUCAAUGGACGCAAGUCUGAACCAGCCAUGCCGCGUGCAGGAAGACGGCUCUAUGAGUUGUAAACUGCUUUUGUACGAGGGUAAACGCAGAUACGCGUAUCUGUCUGAAAGUAUCGUACGAAUAAGGAUCGGCUAACUCCGUGCCAGCAGCCGCGGUAAUACGGAGGAUUCAAGCGUUAUCCGGAUUUAUUGGGUUUAAAGGGUGCGUAGGCGGUCGUAUAAGGUAGAGGUGAAAUCCCGAGGCUCAACUUCGGAAUUGCCUCUGAUACUGUUCGGCGAGAGAGUAGGUGCGGUAGGCGGAAUGUAUGGUGUAGCGGUGAAAUGCUUAGAGAUCAUACAGAACACCGAUUGCGAAGGCAGCUUACCAAGCUACUUCUGACGUUGAGGCACGAAAGCGUGGGGAGCAAACAGGAUUAGAUACCCCAGUAGUC
RNAcentral lists this ribosomal RNA (460 nucleotides) under uncultured bacterium. RNAcentral describes it as "partial 16S ribosomal RNA". It matches the Rfam family "Bacterial small subunit ribosomal RNA", at positions 338 to 795 of the family's 1533-position model. The record is from RNAcentral.